RNAcentral lists this ribosomal RNA (460 nucleotides) under uncultured archaeon. Its description in RNAcentral is "bacterial SSU rRNA". It matches the Rfam family "Archaeal small subunit ribosomal RNA", at positions 466 to 924 of the family's 1478-position model. The record is from RNAcentral.
CGCGGUAAUACUGGCAGAACGAGUGGUGCCCACGAAUAUUGGGUCUAAAGAGACCGUAGCUGGCCUGCUAAGUCCACUGUGAAAUCUUGGGGCUUAACCUCAAGGCGUGCAGUGGAUACUGGUAGGCUUGAGAGCGGGGGAGGUCAGGAGUACUUACGGGGUAUGGGUAAAAUCAGUUGAUCCUGUAAGGACUACCAGUGGCGAAGGCGCCUGACCAAAACGCGUCUGACAGUGAGGGUCGAAGGCUAGGAGAACGAAUCGGAUUAGAUACCCGAGUAGCCCUAGCAGUAAAUCAUGCAGACUGUGGUGCUGCUGAAGCUUCGGGCUUCAGCAGUGCUGUAGCGUAGGUGUUAAGUCUGCCACCUGGGGAGUACGGCCGCAAGGUUGAAACUUAAAGGAAUUGGCGGGGGAGCACCACAAGGGGUGGAUGCUGCGGUUCAAUUGGAUUCAACGCCGGGAA